AGUUGUGCUUGUCAGAGUAACGGUGAAGUCCACAAAACAAAUUUCCACAUCGGCAGUCAAACCCUGUACAAACGAAGAAGUAGAGUCAUUUGAGAACUUGAGGCAAUUAAAAGAAAAAAAAGCCUUAGUCACUAUAGAAAAGGAACCAGAUUUUCAUUGCUUUGUAACAUAAAAGACAGUGAACUCUUUUCUUCCACUUCCUGGUGAUAAGACACAGUCAACUCUUACAGAGUCUAUCACGUUAACCUGGAAAAGGAACUUUUAACUUCCUUUGACAUGGUGAGAAAUUCAAAUAACUAUGUUCAGUCUUUCCUUGCAAGGGCAAUAGCGAAGUGUUUGGUAAGCCAAACCACGUGGAGAAAACAAAAUGGGCUAUCUGCCAGCUAAUUUCUCCCAGAUGCUCUCCCUCUAUCGACUCCUGUAGAUGCAACGCAGGAUAAAAUUUACACAGGCUCUGGAGUUAGGCUAAGCUGGAUUCAAAACACAGUCCUACCAUAUCUUAAGUAAUGCUUCCUCAAGUGAAAACAACCAUCAAGGUCUGAGAUUUGAAGGAGACAAGAAAAAAAGCACCAAGAACAUUCCCUGCAUAGCUCAAAGUAGGUGGCGCUUACUGUUAGUUCAGUAACAUUUUCCCUAGGUAUACAAAAACUUUUUAUCAAUCUAAUAAAAUAAGAGGGCCUGAGUUAAUAGUUUUAUAUGAUUAGGAGACAAAUGGAAGUAAAACCCAACUUCUUUCCACCCCAAUACCACCUCCUCCACCUUUCCUAGACUACAGCUAGUCAGGCUUUUUUUUUUUUUUUAUGUGUAAGACCAACUAGUCUCUUAGGGAGUGACCAAAAGCUCCUUGUUAACUGCAGAAGUAAAACAUACAUUGUCUUGUGUUUUGUAAUACCUGUAAGACCAACUUUCUUUCUGCACAUGAAACAUCUGUUUUUCUUUGGUUUGGGCAAUUCAGGAGCUUUUUCUUCACUCUGAGAAGUACUGGGCUGAGAAACUGAUGGACUGGGCUGAGUGACAACUGAAAAGGACAAAAACACAAAUUUGUCAAGCAUUCACUGGCUAACAUUUUUAAGUCAAAAAAGGAAGUAUUUAAGAGAAACAGGAAGAUGCCUGAUAAAAAUGUUUAUAAGUAUUCCUUGAAAAUACAAGCUUUAAACAGAAUCUUCCAUUUUAACAUCAGAACUUGAUUCAAAUCUGAGAAAUUCCUGCCAAUCACCAUACUACUUGCUUCUCUAAUUUUGUAAAAUGAUCGCUUCACUCAAGAAAUUCCUUUAAAACACUGGUAACAGCCAGUACUAAAAACAAAAUCCUAAUUCUGUUUUAAAGAGCUGGGAGAUGUUAAUCAUAUGCUCAGUUUUUCCACGUUAUAAUUUCCUAAAUGCAAACUUUUCAAUCAGGGCAGUUCAAAUUCAUUACAUCACAGUAAAUAACAGUAGCCAACUUUGAUUUUAUGCUUAUAGGAAAAAAAAUCCUGUAGAUAUAAAAACAGCAAAUUUUGACAAAUAAAACUCAAACCAUUCAUCCCUAAAUCAACGUCAGAUCCAAAAAUUCCAAAACAAUCAUUUUACCAUUUUCACAGGUGCACUAAACAUCAUAGGAAGACUUGAAAGAUUUUUUUAAACCUUGGUUUUAAAAACAGAUCGGCAAACAGUCUUUAGAAACUACUCGAGAAGUAUUGAUUUUAAACUAUUAAGGAUUCCACAGGCAGAACAAGAAUCUUAUCUAAAAUGGGCAUCCACUAUCGACAGAGAUAGCAUCUACAAACAGUCCCACCGUUUCUCCACCUAAAAAGGCUUUAAGUUUCAGUGUACACAUGGCAUCAAUAAAAUUUCUCACAAUGAACAAAAAAUACAUUACUGUACUAAAGCCCACACUGCCACUAGUUCUUUAACACAAAAAUAACAAAAUUUAUAUCUACUUACAUAUAAUUCAACUACACCUGAAACACUAUAAACUCAGGUUUUAAUAUUAAUCCAAAUGUAACAAUAGCAAAUUUAUGUAUGCAAUGCUGAAAUUACUGCCCAAAUAUGCCAGCACCAAUGCUAUUAGCAUAUAGACAAGCUCCUACAACAAGCUGAUUGAUUUAAUGGCAAUUUUCUCUAAAACUCUGCCCAAAUUUAUAAUUCAAUUGCAUUAGCAAUGAAUCUACUGGGAGAAAUAGCCUAAUAUUAGACUAAACGAACAAUAUUCUACCUACUGCUACUGUGACAACAUUAAUGUUUAUCCUGAUGUCAUGAGGAUAAAGAAUAAUCUAGGGGAAUAGUUGUAUGGGGUAGAGGGAGGGUGUCAGCCAUUUCUUUGGCCACAUCUGAAAAAUGAACUACGGCUCCUGAGACAAGGGAAGAAGGGGGAAUAAGAAAAUGACACAGAAAAGGCAAAUAGCAGUGAAUCACAGAAUGCCUACUAAGUAAUAAUAAAUGCAGACUAGCUCUAACCCAAGACUAUUCUUCCAAGGUCAGAGUAAUUUUGUAUUUAAAAACCAAAACCAAAAACAAAAACCCAAACAAAGGCAUCACGGGCAAACUAAUGUGGUCAGUUUAAGGAUGGAGCUCAUUUCAAAAUGCCAAAUAUAGAUUCACCUGCCAAACUUGAGAAUUUGGCCUUAACUUUGUAAGAUUAAUACAAUAAACAAACUUGACUGCUGUUAGCAAAAGCCAGCCUCCAAAGCAGACUGUAUAACCACUGACAGUAUUUUUUCACAACAGAAGUUUUAUAUUGCAUUUAAUCAGCACUCUGCCAAAAAAGAACAAAUUGAUAAAAUAAGCUACGUGCACUAUAUAAAGCACAGAAAUCUUUUUGUUCUAGGGCCUAGUACAGGUAAUUCAAGUCAGUCUUCUUCCACCAUCAGGGCACUUCUGGUUGUGCUAUAUAAGCAAAGUUUCCAAAGUCACCAUAUCUCAUGAAAACCAAAAUGCCUUUCCACACUGAGUUUCAAACUCCCACAAAAUAUGAUAGGAAUAUUGUACUUCAAAUAAGUUCUAGUGUUCAAAUAUGUUGUUCUACUUAAAAGUUUUCCACAACAUUGACAAUAUCAAAACUAAAGUUACUGCUUUUGGUUAUAAAAUUAUUCCUUAUACCCUUGAAAUUUAACUUCAUCAAGUUUUUAACACAUCCAAUCUCCAGAUUACAGACUUUGCCCAUUAUGCACAAGGGUAGUGCAGGGGAUGAGCAGAGAAGAAACUGAGAAUAAAUAUGACUAUUUUACACUUCAAGAUACUCAUACUCAAGAUACUUUUAAAGAUAGUAGUUCUUUGCUUGGCCUAUAUUUUAUGGCUCUCCCUCCUCUUUGGUCCUUCAAUGGGAAGGAAAGAAUCCCCCCACCAGCCAUUUCUUGCACUAUCAAAUUCAGAACUGAACAAGUAUUAAAUGAAAAACAUACCUGGCUCUGACACCUCUGUUUUCGGGGUAGUUAUUUUGUCCUCUCUUGAAAUGCUCAUUUCUGUCAUUUGCUGAGUUACAGGCAAGGCAGCCACAGGCACAUUUCUAUUUGAGUUCAAGCAAACAAUUUUUAAAGGUGUUAAGGGUACUUCUUGAGACAAUGAAUAAGUUGUCAGUUCAACUUUAAAUUAUAGAAUAUUUCCAAAAUGAGCAAAUGGAGCUAGAUAAUCUAAAGUUUAAAAAAAAAUUGGAUGCCCAGCACAAAUGGUUGAGAAAAAAGUUUGAUAAAUGGCUCAUGAACUCGAGGCUGCAUUUUGUAUAGGUUACCAUAUUUUACAACCAGCUAGGGAUUUUUAGCUGUGCCUGUAACUUGUUUAAGGGCAAAAGGGCAGCUCUGCCAAAACACCUUGUCUGGCCCAAUAAUAUUCUACAGUCUCACUCGACAAUCCCUAAACCUCAAUUACAAAGAAAUAAAAAAGCACAGCAUUUCCAACACAGUAUCCUUGAGGGGGUUAGGGAGUCAGGUGUAAGUAACACACAUCUUUACUCAAUGACUUAAGAGUCAUGUAUUAAAAGACACUGAAAUCCUCGAUUGCAAAGCCAAGGGUAUCUAUUAACUUAUUAUUGGACCAGUACAGACAUCUUGAUUUCUUCUUUGUAAUAUCAUAAAAACUCUGAAACGUUCAAUCUUACCUUGAUUUUUCAGAUGUGCUGCCAGCAGCACCUUCACAGUUGUUUAAGCUAGUGUCUGCUCUCUGUACAGAUGCAGAAUCUGAGGUAGGACUGUUGGAACCACUAGCUGUUCCUAUUUAAAAAAAGGAUUUGUAAGGAACCAAUGAACACUACAAAAACUCACUUAGUAUCAAGACGUAGUAAUAAAUACUUGCAUUUAAUUAGGUUAGUGAUAUAAGCAUUCACUGUGCUGUAAUCCUAUACUUGAGUAUCCAAACAAAAAAUAUUAAAAAGUCAAUCCAAUGAACACAAGUGUGAAACAAAAUAACCCCAAAAAAGAAAACUGAAAAGCUAUAAGAUGCUUGUAGAUAGUCAUUCAUUCCUGAUCAGUCAUGUCAAGCACUUGGGCUGUUGCUUGAAUUUCAAGCUCUUAUCAGGUGUUCUCUCCAUGUGCUUUCAGCAUUCUCAGCCCCAAUUCUUGGUUCUGUAUUUCUGUCCACCAGUUCUUUCAAAUGUGUUUUUCCUUGGAAAUAACUUACCCAUUGGGCUCAUUCCAUUUGUCCUAGGAUUUCCAUAAAAGCCACAUCCUGUGCUACACAGCAUGGGCCCCGGGGUCUGGUUAGUCUCCUGAGCCAUAUUUUUCUGCUAUAGAUGAAACGAAAUUUCAGAAAUUAGUGUUAUCACCAAAAUAUAGUCUAAUAUAAUCAUCGGUAUACCGUUGUAAUUGCUACGCAAGUUUUAACAAAAGCCCAAAUUCCGUUAAUCAUUAAAAAGGGUGGGCAGAGAUAAUUAUCAAUAUUUUGUUGCCUUUAUAAAAGCAAACUGUUUUAGGACCAAAAAAAAACCCAAAAAGAAAUUUUAUCAAUUAUUAGGGUAUUUUUACCUAUCACUAUUCUUGGUUUCAAUUUAUGAAAAGGUCUGUUAGCUCUCAGGGUUAUGUUUUAAUCAAUUUGGGAAACUGGUAUCUUUAACUUUUCACUCUGCUGCACUACAGGCAGACCAUUUCAAAUGUUUUUACUUAAUUGGCUAAUCACAAUUAUCACUGAGUCUUGAUAUUUAUAGGUAGUUCUUUAAACUGGAUGAAUAAAGUUUUCUUAAAACACCUGUACAUAUCUGGGCUUCAUCAGUAAUUUGACAAAUCUGCUGAGGCAGAGCAUCUGUACUUUUUAAUGCUGAAACAUCUUCAUAUAAGGCUGAAAAGAGAACUGGUAGCCCUUCCUGCUACCCUGGCACCAACAAGUAAAUCUCUAAGAAUUUAGGGUCAGCUGGUUUACGAAACUCCUUUUACGUUCUCCAUUUGAAGUUUCAGAGUAUGUCAAAGCCAGUGCCUAGGAACCUGCAAUACACAAAUUAUGAACCAGAUUUCUCAGCCAAAGGCACUAUUAAUUUUAACAAGUGCUUGUCUUCCUCAUACCAGAAAAUAAUAAAACCGUUCCAAGCUCAAAUUCAAUGUAUUAAAGUCAAUAUAUACACAUAACCUUUAGUAAUGGUUAAUAUUCAAUGCUGGGUUACCAGAAAAAGCUUUACAUAGCAAGCAUUUGUUUCCAAGGAAGAUUUGCUUUUCUAAAAGUCUUGUUAAAACGCUGUGCUAAAUUAUUAAUAAGUUUUCCUCUGGAUGAGAAAAUACAUAUUAAAGAAAAAUUAUUUUAAAAUAAAGUUGUGGAGGGUUUUCAUGUCAUCUUAAACAUGUAUAAGCAUAUGUACAAAAAGCAUAUUUGAGAGCAUUUGCUUAAAGGAAAAUUCGUGUGCUGUAACUUGUGGUCAGUCAUUUUUUCCAACUACAUACUAGAAUACACUUUUUAGUGAGUUAUUAAAAAACGAUGUUUUAACAAGUAUUAACUACCAAAAUUAGAAGAUGGGAGAAGGGGACUAACCAAUUUUGACCUGGCCAGACCCCUGGUAAUUAUUCCCCAAAACAUUUUAUCUUCCCUUUUGUAAGUAAAAGUGCACCAUACAAAUAUUAAGACAAUCUAGCUUGUGUGGAGUGACCAAGAUCCACAACUUACUUUUAACAACAGUAUUAAUUUAGUUGACACUGUCUCUUUAAAUAUUAACUGGAAUUUAGCUGACUCAUUUUGGAGCAGGGUAGUGUAAACAUUUCAACAUCACUUAGGAAGUUUAUUAAUAAACACUUUCAGCUGGGUUUUUAAAUGAGCAUAAUAGGAGCAAAAAAUGCUUUCAAAUGAUAAAUAUGUAUGUAUUUGCAUGCCCACCACGCACAAAAUAUGUGUGAAUGUUUGCCCUAUGCAUGAAAGUUGGGUCACUCCUUAAAACCAGUUUAAGUAUGCUAGCUUACAUUUUCUACACUGAGGCCCAGUCUCAUGUGACAUUGGCUUUAAAGUUUAAGGCCAAGCGAUCAACCUACCUAAGUAAUUUUAGUUAAUCUGAUUCUUAAAAUAUUUGUUUUAGAUAAAAUGGAGGAUACUCCAUCUAAAGAUUUCACACACUCAGAGAUAACAAAGUAUUCCAACUUUGCUUCAGAGAACAUGUCUACCUUCAUUUCAUUAUAAAUAACUUUCAACUGCGAGACACACAAGAGGUACCAGGACAUGAGUCUUCUACAUGGGUUCCCAUCUUUUAGAUUUUUUUCCCCUAGAAAGCCAGCUUUUAAAUGCCAUCACAUGUGCACAGCUUGCUUUAAUAUUUCUCAGAAGCUCAGAUCACAUGGGAGGGCGCUUCAGCCUGUCACAAGGCUGCAAUGUGACAAGCUGAGCUGGAUGGAGGCUCUCACAUAAAGCCUAGUCAACAGGGGCCUCUGAAAUCAGCUUCUAUUUAUAUCUCAAAGCCUGCCAACUCCUACACAACCCCAAGAACUAAGGAUGCAGCGUUCAUAUAUCUAACAUAAGAAAACAAAAAAAGGGCUGCUAGUUUUUUCCUAAUGUAGGAAAAACUACAGAACAAUCUCAAUCUAGAAGAUGAAAGCAUAGUCAAAGCUAAAAUGGUCAAGGUUGUUGAUAAAAAACUAAGCACAGUGGAGACAGUGUAAAAAAGAAUCCUCAUUUAGUGAGGAUUUAGGGGAUGAAGUGGGGGAUGUGUGUUCCCAUUAGGUAUUGCAUUCCCCUUGUAUUUUAGAAAAAAAUACCAUUACUAUUUAUUGCCUUUAAAGUAAUUAGCAACUUGAGCAUGCACGUGUCAGCUCUAUCAGGUAUAGCUAGAAUGCAGAUUUUAUAAAGUUUAUGGCUUCCUCUAACUUACAGCUUAAAAAAACACCCGAGUGUAACUGAACAAUUCUCCAAUUCCAAUUCUGAACAAAGAGCUUUUACACCUAUGGAAUACAGUUCUUUCAGGUGCACAUGAUGUGAUGAGAUGGCAUGAAUUCCCACUCACCUGGGAAUGGAGACCUGAGUUCAAGUCUCUAGUCUGCCACUAAGUCAGUGACCUUGGGCAAGUCCUUAC
This 7446-nucleotide long non-coding RNA is filed under the name Homo sapiens (human). RNAcentral describes it as "HSALNT0150176". Lineage: Eukaryota; Metazoa; Chordata; Mammalia; Primates; Hominidae. The record is from RNAcentral.